Long non-coding RNA from Cyprinus carpio carpio, 331 nucleotides. NCBI's taxonomy places the organism in Eukaryota, Metazoa, Chordata, Actinopteri, Cypriniformes, Cyprinidae. The record is from Ensembl.
UCCAAAAACUGCAAGAACACAAGGCUGUAAAAGCGGGUUAAGGCAAGGCAAGAGGGGUGUGGCAGAAGUGAGAAUGUGCCAUGUGAGCUUACUGUUUUCAACAUUUUUUUUUUUUAUAUUUAUAUUUAUGUGUAUAUUUACAUUUGUGUUUAUGUUAAUAUUGAUAUGAAAUGAAAGGGUUUUUUUUUUUUUCUUCUUCUUCUUUAUUUGAAGUCGGUGCCCUACACAAACAGCGUAUUCUGCGUAAAGGGAGCGGCAGUACUGGUUAGAGCCUACUCUGAAGUAGGGUCCCAAAAGGCAUUCCUAUAACUAAAAUUGUUCCCAGUUCCUG